Molecule: ribosomal RNA, 253 nt
Filed under: uncultured bacterium
Lineage: Bacteria
Description: partial 16S ribosomal RNA
Rfam family: Bacterial small subunit ribosomal RNA
Source: RNAcentral
UACGUAGGGACCAAGCGUUGUCCGGAAUCAUUGGGCGUAAAGCGCGCGUAGGUGGCUUCGUAAGUCCGUUGUGAAAGUCAAAGGCUCAACCUUUGAAAGCCGAUGGAUACUGCUGAGCUAGAGUACGGAAGAGGCGAGUGGAAUUCCUGGUGUAGCGGUGGAAUGCGCAGAUAUCAGGAGGAACACCAAUAGCGAAGGCAGCUCGCUGGGACGUUACUGACACUAAGGCGCGAAAGCGUGGGGAGCGAACAGG